AAUAGAUACCCCGGUAGUCCACGCCGUAAACGAUGUCGACUUGGAGGUUGUUCCCUUGAGGAGUGGCUUCCGGAGCUAACGCGUUAAGUCGACCGCCUGGGGAGUACGGCCGCAAGGUUAAAACUCAAAUGAAUUGACGGGGGCCCGCACAAGCGGUGGAGCAUGUGGUUUAACUCGAUGCAACGCGAAGAACCUUACCUACUCUUGACAUCCAGAGAACUUAGCAGAGAUGCUUUGGUGCCUUCGGGAACUCUGAGACAGGUGCUGCAUGGCUGUCGUCAGCUCGUGUUGUGAAAUGUUGGGUUAAGUCCCGCAACGAGCGCAACCCUUAUCCUUUGUUGCCAGCGGUCCGGCCGGGAACUCAAAGGAGACUGCCAGUGAUAAACUGGAGGAAGGUGGGGAUGACGUCAAGUCAUCAUGGCCCUUACGAGUAGAGCUACACACGUGCUACAAUGGCGCAUACAAAGAGAAGCGACCUCGCGAGAGCAAGCGGACCUCAUAAAGUGCGUCGUAGUCCGGA
RNAcentral lists this ribosomal RNA (520 nucleotides) under uncultured bacterium. Its description in RNAcentral is "bacterial SSU rRNA". It matches the Rfam family "Bacterial small subunit ribosomal RNA", at positions 777 to 1297 of the family's 1533-position model. The record is from RNAcentral.